UACGGAAGGUCCGGGCGUUAUCCGGAUUUAUUGGGUGUAAAGCGUGUGUAGGCGGUAAGGUAAGUCAGCGGUGAAAUGCCCCCGCUCAACGGGGUGAAGUGCCAUUGAUACUGCCUUGCUGGAAUGCGGAUGCCGUGGGAGGAAUGUGUGGUGUAGCGGUGAAAUGCAUAGAUAUCACACAGAACACCGAUUGCGAAGGCAUCUCACGAAUCCGCGAUUGACGCUGAUGCACGAAAGCGUGGGUAUCAAACAGG
RNAcentral lists this ribosomal RNA (254 nucleotides) under uncultured Bacteroidales bacterium. RNAcentral describes it as "partial 16S ribosomal RNA". It matches the Rfam family "Bacterial small subunit ribosomal RNA", at positions 524 to 776 of the family's 1533-position model. The record is from RNAcentral. Lineage: Bacteria; Pseudomonadati; Bacteroidota; Bacteroidia; Bacteroidales.